RNAcentral lists this ribosomal RNA (299 nucleotides) under Retortamonas intestinalis. RNAcentral describes it as "Retortamonadidae sp. IC-2014b partial small subunit ribosomal RNA". It matches the Rfam family "Eukaryotic small subunit ribosomal RNA", at positions 1510 to 1804 of the family's 1831-position model. Lineage: Eukaryota; Fornicata; Retortamonadidae. The record is from RNAcentral.
UUUUUUUUCGUUUGUGGGAUUUAAAGAUCUCACUACUCGAUAAUAUCCAUCGUGGCUGGGAUUGAGGCUUGGAACUAUGCCUCAUGAACAAGGAAUGUCUAGUAAGUGCACUUCACAAAGAUGCGCUGAUUCUGUCCCUGUCCCUUGUACACACCGCCCGUCGCUUGAUCCGAUUGGUUGCUUUGGCGAGUUCUUCGGACUACUUGGAAUAAGAGGGUGCCUCGGCAUUUUUUUAUUUUGGGAAGGAAGUUGUGCGAGCCUAAGGAAUUAGAGGAACAAGAAGUCGUAACAAGGUAUCC